AAUCUAGNCGGUAACUCGCCGAAUGCAUCUUAGAUUUAAAGUUUGAUCAUGGCUCAGAUCNGAACGCUNGNGCGGCAGGCCUAACACAUGCAAGUCGAACGGUACAGGAAGCAGCUUGCUGCUUCGCUGACGAGUGGCGGACGGGUGAGUAAUGUCUGGGAAACUGCCUGAUGGAGGGGGAUAACUACUGGAAACGGUAGCUAAUACCGCAUAACGUCGCAAGACCAAAGAGGGGGACCUUCGGGCCUCUUGCCAUCGGAUGUGCCCAGAUGGGAUUAGCUAGUAGUGGGGUAACGGCUCACCUAGGCGACGAUCCCUAGCUGGUCUGAGAGGAUGACCAGCCACACUGGAACUGAGACACGGUCCAGACUCCUACGGGAGGCAGCAGUGGGGAAUAUUGCACAAUGGGCGCAAGCCUGAUGCAUGCCAUGCCGCGUGUAUGAAGAAGGCCUUCGGGUUGUAAAGUACUUUCAGGCGGGGGAGGGANAGGGUGUAUGAGGGUUAAUUAACCCUCAAGCACAAUUUGACGUUUAACC
This 536-nucleotide ribosomal RNA is filed under the name uncultured bacterium. Its description in RNAcentral is "bacterial SSU rRNA". It matches the Rfam family "Bacterial small subunit ribosomal RNA", at positions 1 to 491 of the family's 1533-position model. The record is from RNAcentral.